RNAcentral lists this ribosomal RNA (389 nucleotides) under uncultured bacterium. Its description in RNAcentral is "bacterial SSU rRNA". It matches the Rfam family "Bacterial small subunit ribosomal RNA", at positions 28 to 417 of the family's 1533-position model. The record is from RNAcentral.
GACGAACGCUGGCGGCGUGCUUAACACAUGCAAGUCGAGCGGUAAGGCCCUUUCGGGGGUACACGAGCGGCGAACGGGUGAGUAACACGUGGGUGACCUGCCCUCAGCUCUGGGAUAAGCCCGGGAAACUGGGUCUAAUACUGGAUAUGACUCCACGGUGCAUGCCGGUGGGGUGGAAAGCCUUGUGCGGCUGAGGAUGGGCCCGCGGCCUAUCAGCUUGUUGGUGGGGUGANGGCCUACCAAGGCGACGACGGGUAGCCGGCCUGAGAGGGCGACCGGCCACACUGGGACUGAGACACGGCCCAGACUCCUACGGGAGGCAGCAGUGGGGAAUCUUGCGCAAUGGGCGAAAGCCUGACGCAGCGACGCCGCGUGAGGGAUGACGGCCU